RNAcentral lists this small RNA (143 nucleotides) under Micromonospora narathiwatensis. RNAcentral's name for it is "c-di-AMP sequence". It matches the Rfam family "c-di-AMP riboswitch aptamer (ydaO/yuaA leader)". From Rfam's summary of the family: This family represents a conserved RNA structure found upstream of the ydaO and yuaA genes in Bacillus subtilis and related genes in other bacteria. Lineage: Bacteria; Bacillati; Actinomycetota; Actinomycetes; Micromonosporales; Micromonosporaceae. The record is from Rfam by way of RNAcentral.
CGUACCGACCCGCUUAAUCGUGAUCUUCGCGAACCGGGGACCCAGUGCAACACCGGGGUGAAUCCGCGAGCUGCGGCCCGCGGUAGGGCGUACUUCCCGCCCGAAUCCGUCAGCUAACCCGGUAGGCGGCCACGGAAGGAGUG